Astatotilapia calliptera (eastern happy) is the source of this 1981-nucleotide long non-coding RNA. Lineage: Eukaryota; Metazoa; Chordata; Actinopteri; Cichliformes; Cichlidae. The record is from Ensembl.
CAGCAAGAUACCACAACUUCAAGGCUUUAGAGGAACUGCUUGGUGCUUUGGGAAAUACUGUUGCUAAAGGUUAAAUCGUACCUUAUGAGGUUAUGUGUGAGGCUUUGGUCUUGUGUUAAAGCAGCGGUUGCAAUGUCAUCUUAACUAAUUUGCUAAUCUUUUAUAUGUCUUUAUCAGAGUGGAAUUUGAACUCUCGCCAUUAACAUUUUGGCAGCAGCUCUGUUGUUCUUUUUGGAGCUGUAUUUAGGCUAGAGGGUGAAAGCACUGUACUGUCAGCUGAGGUCAGCAGACUAUAUCAAGAAACCGUUUGGUUACAGUACCCACAAAGAGAAUACUGUUAAUUAGGUAUAAGUGAUAAAAUAUUCAGAUUGCAGUCAUCAAAACUCAAACACAGACUUGUUGAAAGUCCACACAAGUUAGAAAGUCACAUUGUUUGUCAGAUAAUUCCGUUAAAAAAAUCCUCAAAGGCACCACCUUUAAAGCCGGGACAUGCAGUUCAAGCUGAGGCUUAGCAGGAUUCAUAUGUCCAGCAGAAGCAGUGCGAUCGCUGUCCGCUGGCAGUCUGAGAAAGAAUCAUCUCCCUACACUGAGCUCCGUUUCCAGGUGGAGGACGUGUACAGUCUGGUACAACUGGGAGCUUCUCUUGCUUGUGCUGGUGUUGGUUCGUCAGCCAGCUGUGGAAAACAAAAGUUAGGCUUCCAAUGAGCUGAAGGGAAACCAAAUGUUAAAAGCAAGAGAAAGUGUCACUGUGCUUUUCAUGCUGUAGUUUUUGGAUCUUAGACACGUACAUCAUCCACUUCUGCCGAUGUGCUGUCAGGAUCUUGGAGGACACCAAAGGAGUGUGUUUGGAGUUGGUGAACCCCGUUUAUGCAGACAGACACAGUUAAACAGCUUCUGCUUUAGGAAACAGUCAUUGCCUAGACCUGCCUGUGUCUGCACCUGUCAGUCAAACUGGCCAUGGCCAGAAAUCCAAAUGGGUGAAUUGUAGUUGCCGUAAAGUGGGAAAUUAGCUGUAAUCAUGUUCAUGACAGAAGUUGGGCAUUUUAACAUGGGAGUCUAUGGGAAGUGGCAGUUAGACACGUCUGUGGUGCCUUUGUUCUUCAGCCACAGAAGCUGGUGUUUAAUAGAAAAGUCCAAAGGACACUUUCAUUUCUGUUAAAAAAGUUAUUCUUUUGUACUUUUCAGGGGAAAUACAGCUGAUGUUUUGGCAGGACAGUAACGUAUGCAGUGACCAAAAAUGCAGACAUUCAUAUUCAUUCUCACAAAGCAUUUUGUACUACUAGUGGGUUUUGAAAACCUGCAUGGUUGUAGCAUCCGAUACGUUAACAACGUGCUGCACAUGUGUUGAUGGCACAGCCGGUGGCAGCUGAGACACACCUCGUGGCUUUAACCAAAACCGAGUCAGUCGUUUCUGUCCAGAUUGAUGAUGAGUCGAAACCAAAGGCCAGUUGUGGAUGUGAGCAGUUUAAAAAAACAAAAACAGAAAAACAUGUCUCAUUAGAAAUGAAAUAGUACUUUAGUAUUCUAGAGAAAAAUCCUGUGGAGAGAAUAAAGAGUGAACAAUCACAUCCCUGCUGGUUCUUUAAUCUGUCUGAAAACACACUGAAAGAUGGGAGGAAAGGAAAACUAAGAGACUAGCAAACAUUCCACAAUGCCAUGUCAUAUACUGUACAGCAACCCUGUCUCCUCCUCUUCCCUUUCUCUCCCCCUCCCACACCCCCCUGUCUGUCUCUCAGUAAUCCAGUAAUCACAAUACUACAGUAAUACUUUGGACCUGUUAACACAUUAACUCAUCUUUAUGUAAGUCAGUACGUAAUCCUUAAUAAUAAUCAAAAAAAGAAAAAAAAUACAAGAAGUGCCGUACAAAUAGAAGCCUAAUAUUUUUUGUUUUUGUUUUGUGUGAGUGUACUGUACACCUGUAUAAUGUAUAUUUUAAUAUUUAUAUGCAGCUGUUGUAUUAAAGUAUAUUUUUAAAAUAAAA